GUUUGACACCACUGGGCUAGACAGUCAAAUCCACCACCAUUAACAGAGCACAAUCAGAGUACUAGAGCUCCACACAGAGAGAAGUGCACGUCGCUGUCUCGACAGCAGAGUUGUGCUCAUCUAAUCGCUGAGUGAUCGUGUAUGCUCUGUAAAUAGGGGCCAUGCCAUCCUGGAAGACACUACGCCCUUCCUCUAGAAAGGCAGCGUGCAAGUCAUUUGCACAGAGUCAUUAACAUUGACCUGGUCGUCGUAGGGUUUAAGUGCACUAGACUCACCUGUCUAGCACUGAGCCUCCAGACACUGUACAGACAACAGGGUCCACUCAGGAGUGUACUCGUCCAACCACAGUUUGCCUUUGCUGAUGAUGUCUUUCUCUCAGACUUCCUCAUACCACCAUGUGCAUGCUCGUAGGCUUGCACACUGGCCUUUGGGGUACGGGGCCCGUGGUUUAGUGUUGGUUGUAUCUAUUAUGUUUUGCCAUUAGAAUAACUAGUAAUAUGAAAUAAAAAAUGUAAAAAUGGAUGAUUUAUAUACACUCUCAGGUACGCUUUUAUCCAGAGUGGUUCCACUCCAAGCAAACUAAGCGGAAUGAGCUCACAGACAGGUAGGCGUUGAGACGAUGCGUGAUGUGACUGUCACACUUUAAAUCAAAAGUUAUCCCUCCUUAUAGAGGAAGGGCCUGUUUGAGUGUGCGAGACCUUUCGGCUGAAAACGCCGGGGCACAGAGCAUUCAUGUGAAAUCAGUCCGUCUGUAAACAGACAGGAGCUGAAAGGGGCUCAGCGCAGAACCAACAUCGGUUUCUGAGUGAGAGUGCAGGAACCGCGCGGCCCUCUCCUCUGGCUUUACCUUCCCUCCAUUUGUUCAGUCCGCAACGCGUGACCAUGACAGCAGCCGCUGACACCCGAUAAUAAUUAAGACCAGGUCUUGCUCAUUUCCCAGCAACCCCAGUGCCUCUGAAAGCUUUAUAUGAUGUUGUUGAGAUAUGAUUGCUGAGAAAUUUGGCUCAAAGCAAUAACUAUCAACAAUCCACUGCAUGAAAACCUUGUUUCAUUUUCAUUCUCACAGAUAAACAUUAUUUGUGCCCCCAUGCCUUCAUUUCAGUGGAGGUUUUAUAUAAAUCACAAAAAAAUUAAUCUCAACUUCAUUUCACAAAAAUUAAUGACACUUUUAUGUAAUCUAGCAGAGAUAAAUGGCAACCAUUAAACAUUGUUUAUAUUGUCUGGAACUGAGAAAAGAUAUUUUUGCAGACGAAGCGGACUGAACUCACAGACAGGUAGGCGUUGAGACGAUGCGUGAUGCGUGUGCUCCACCUCCACGGCAGCUCUCCUCCUCUUCCUCAGCAGGGGGGUUUGAUGUCUCUGAUUCGAGUGUGGGAGGGCGAGUUUAGCCCAGCGUGGGAUGUGUCCUCCUGCACCCCACGAGAGGUGGGACACAGUGGGGGGAUAGAUUCACACAGACAAGACCCCCCUCCCAAAACUGGCUCUAAGCUGAGACCGCGCCCUUUCUCCGUGCAUUUAUUUAUUUAUUUUUAGAAGGCCUCAAUCUUGGCUCAUGCUCUUAUCAUCACUAUGGUCAGAAACCAGCCUACAGGCAUAAAAGGGCAUAAAAUCAAAGAUGAUAAAACUGGCAAUAUUCUCGAAAUGCCCCCUUUGGACUUACAGCAGAAACUCCAUUUCGUGGCAACCUGGAAUGUAAAGGUCGGCUUUGGUAAACUAACCUGUCCCACUUUCCAGCCUAUUGGCCAGAUGUACCUGACCUCUUACUCAUUGUGUCGAUUAACCUCCGACCAGAGUGGAAGAGACCCAGCUGGCAGCCCUGGCGUGACGGUUAGAAAUAAACCCUAUUUUUAAUGAAUCCGGUGUGCUGUGCACUGGUCCAAGUAUCCAACAAACAAGUGCUUUAGUUUUUUUAUUUAUUUUUUUCUCAUCAGCAGUAAGUCUUGCUCGCUGCAUAAAUGCGAUUUUCAAUUUCCUCCUGAGAGCAGCAACUCUCUCAGUGCUAUUUUUGGCCAGAAGCUCAUUUGUUACAUUCUACUCUGUUUGUCUCUGCUGUCAUAACAGCAGUGGAGAUUCACGAGCACGCCACACUUUCUAUUUUUUUUUCAGCCCCCUGGCAUGUGAAAGACGUCUAAGAGCCACUGUGCUCACUCCCGUUCACGUUUACAUUUUCAACCUCAGGAAGAGCCAAUGAAAUACACGAGUCCCGAUAUCCCUAAGAGCUGAUAUUGCAGAGGCACAUGUGAUUAUAUAUACUUGAAUCCCAUGAAUGUUGAUAUCCCUGAGUCACAUUAAUGCUGAUAUCCCUGAGUCACAUAAAUGCUGAUAUCCCUGAGUCACAUUAAUGCAGAUGUCCCUGGGUCACAUUAAUGCAGAUGUCCCUGAGUCACAUUAAUGCUGAUAUCUCUGAGUCACAUUAAUGCUGAUAUCCCUGAGUCACAUUAAUGCUGAUAUCCCUGAGUCACAUUAAUCCUGAUAUCCCUGAGUCACAUUAAUGCUGAUAUCCCUGAGUCACAUUAAUCCUGCUUUCCCUGAGUCACAUUAAUCCUGAUAUCCCUGAAUCCCAUGAAUGCAGAUGUCCCUGAGUCACAUUAAUCCUGAUAUCCCUGAGUCACUUUAAUGCUGAUAUCCCUGAGUCACAUUAAUGCCGAUAUCCCUGGGUCACAUUAAUGCUGAUAUCCCUGAGUCACAUUAAUCCUGAUAUCCCUGAAUCACAUGAAUGCUAAUAUCCCCAAGUUGCAUGAUGUUACAUUCCCUUGCAUUGUGGAGUCUGUAUGCCCAUCUCAGUUCUGCAGGUGGAGCUGAUUGAUGGCUUAAUUGCCGGAUGAUGCACACCUGUGUCCACCUGACAGCCAAGUGGAUAAAGACAUUUCAGGGAGAGAUGGUUGGGGAUUUUUUUUUUUUUUUUUCACUCAGAUUCCUUUUAAGACUCUUUGCUUUUGUGUGUUUUUACAUUUUGCAGUUAUUAUAUUUUGUUUUCUGUUUAUGUCUUGUUUUGGAACUUUUCUGUGGUAGGUUGCAGGUGGUCAGGCAGUUUCUUUUCUUUCCUGUUUUAACAUGUUUUUAGAUAGUUAGACCAGAGUAGGAAUAACAUUUACCGGGAGACUCACUCCUUUUGCUUUGUCCCGGUAGAGAGGUUUUAAAAUGUGCUUUCUUUUAGAUUAGGAGUAGCCUACCUCUGGUUUGUCUUCUGCCUGAACCAUCCUGUUAGCCUACACAUGGUAAUGCGUUCUGUUUUUUGUCUCAUUGUUUGUAAUAAAUCUUAUCUUUUUGUUGUUGUAUUUAUAA
Long non-coding RNA from Anguilla rostrata (American eel), 3285 nucleotides. RefSeq lists it as uncharacterized. NCBI's taxonomy places the organism in Eukaryota, Metazoa, Chordata, Actinopteri, Anguilliformes, Anguillidae. The record is from RefSeq and is a predicted model, not a curated record. The transcript has 2 exons.